AAAAUGCGACACUUGGUGUGAAUUGCAGAAUCCUGUGAACCAUCAAGUCUUUUAACGCAAGUUGCGCCCCAAGCCUUCUGGCCGAGGGCACGUCUGCCUGGGUGUCACAAAUCAUCGUCCCCCCAUCCUCUCGAGGAUAUGGGACGGAAGCUGAUCUCCCGUGUGUUACCGCACGCGGUUGGCCAAAAUCCGAGCUAAGGACGCCCAGGAGCAUCUUGACCUGCGGUGGUUAAUUCAAUUCUCGCCAUAUAGUCAGACGUUCCGGUCCAAAAGCUCUUGAUGUCCCAAAGUCCUCAAUGUGACCCCAGGUCAGGCGGGAUCACCCACUGAGUUUAA
This 336-nucleotide unclassified non-coding RNA is filed under the name uncultured fungus. RNAcentral describes it as "sequence contains ITS1". The stretch from base 1 to 107 matches the Rfam family "5.8S ribosomal RNA", at positions 50 to 154 of the family's 154-position model. The record is from RNAcentral. Lineage: Eukaryota; Fungi.